Molecule: non-coding RNA, 144 nt
Organism: Triticum aestivum (bread wheat)
Lineage: Eukaryota; Viridiplantae; Streptophyta; Magnoliopsida; Poales; Poaceae
Source: Rfam
UCAAUACUCCAUCCGUUCCAUAUUAUUUAUCUUAGAUUUGUCUAGAUAUGGAUGUAUCUAACACUAAAACAUGUCAAAUAGUGUUAGAUACAUCCAUAUCUAGACAAAUCUAAGACGAGUAAUAUGGAUCGAAGAAAGUAUAAA